This 253-nucleotide ribosomal RNA is filed under the name uncultured bacterium. RNAcentral's name for it is "partial 16S ribosomal RNA". It matches the Rfam family "Bacterial small subunit ribosomal RNA", at positions 524 to 776 of the family's 1533-position model. The record is from RNAcentral.
UACGAACCGUACAAACGUUAUUCGGAAUUACUGGGCUUAAAGGGUGCGUAGGCGGCCAUGUAAGUGAGGUGUGAAAUCCCUCGGCUCAACCGAGGAACUGCGCUUCAUACUGCAUGGCUUGAGUGAGACAGGGGUAAGCGGAACUGAUGGUGGAGCGGUGAAAUGCGUUGAUAUCAUCAGGAACACCGGUGGCGAAGGCGGCUUACUGGGUCGCUUCUGACGCUGAGGUACGAAAGCUAGGGUAGCGAACGGG